Molecule: ribosomal RNA, 494 nt
Filed under: uncultured soil bacterium
Lineage: Bacteria
Description: bacterial SSU rRNA
Rfam family: Bacterial small subunit ribosomal RNA
Source: RNAcentral
AGAUUGAACGCUGGCGGCAGGCCUAACACAUGCAAGUCGAGCGGCAGCACGGGUACUUGUAUCUGGUGGCGGGCGGCGGACGGGUGAGUAAUGCCUAGGAAUCUGCCUGGUAGUGGGGGAUAACGCUCGGAAACGGACGCUAAUACCGCAUACGUCCUACGGGAGAAAGCAGGGGACCUUCGGGCCUUGCGCUAUCAGAUGAGCCUAGGUCGGAUUAGCUAGUUGGUGAGGUAAUGGCUCACCAAGGCGACGAUCCGUAACUGGUCUGAGAGGAUGAUCAGUCACACUGGAACUGAGACACGGUCCAGACUCCUAGGGAGCAGCAGUGGGAAUAUUGGACAAGUGGGCGAAAGCCUGAUCCAGCCAUGCCGCGUUGUGUAGAAGGUAGGUCUUCGGAUUGAAAGUCAACGUUUUAAGGUUGGGAAGGAAGGCUAGGUUAACCUAAGUUACGUAUCCGUUAGUUUUCGACGUUACCGACUAGAAUAAGACACCGG